RNAcentral lists this ribosomal RNA (374 nucleotides) under uncultured organism. RNAcentral's name for it is "partial 16S ribosomal RNA". It matches the Rfam family "Bacterial small subunit ribosomal RNA", at positions 527 to 896 of the family's 1533-position model. The record is from RNAcentral.
GUAGGUGGCAAGCGUUGUCCGGAAUUAUUGGGCGUAAAGCGCGCGCAGGCGGUUCUUUAAGUCUGAUGUGAAAGCCCACGGCUCAACCGUGGAGGGUCAUUGGAAACUGGAGAACUUGGGUACAGAAGAGGAAAGCGGAAUUCCACGUGUAGCGGUGAAAUGCGUAGAGGUGUGGAGGAACACCAGUGGCGAAGGCGGCUUUCUGGUCUGUAACUGACGCUGAGGCGCGAAAGCGUGGGGAGCAAACAGGAUUAGAUACCCUGGUAGUCCACGCCGUAAACGAUGAGUGCUAAGUGUUAGGGGGUUUCCCGCCCCCCUUAGUGCUGCAGCUAACGCAUUAAGCACUCCGCCUGGGGAGUACGGCCGCAAGGCUG